GAUGAACGCUGGCGGCGUGCCUAAUACAUGCAAGUCGAGCGAACGGACGAUAAGCUUGCUUCUCUGAUGUUAGCGGCGGACGGGUGAGUAACACGUGGAUAACCUACCUAUAAGACUGGGAUAACUUCGGGAAACCGGAGCUAAUACCGGAUAAUAUUUUGAACCGCAUGGUUCAAAAGUGAAAGACGGUCUUGCUGUCACUUAUAGCUGGUUCCGCGCUGCAUUAGCUAGUUGGUAAGGUAACGGCUUACCAAGGCGACGAUGCAUAGCCGACCUGAGAGGGUGAUUGGCCACACUGGAACUGGGCAACGGUCCAGACUCCUACGGGAGGGAGCAGUAGGGAAUCUUCCGCAAUGGGGGAAAGCCUGACGGAGCAACGCCGCGUGAGUGAUGAAGGUCUUCGGAUCGUAAAACUCUGUUAUUAGGGAAGAACAUAUGUGUAAGUAACUGUGCACAUCUUGACGGUAACUAAUCAGAAAGCAACGGCUAACUACGUG
This 497-nucleotide ribosomal RNA is filed under the name uncultured bacterium. RNAcentral describes it as "partial 16S ribosomal RNA". It matches the Rfam family "Bacterial small subunit ribosomal RNA", at positions 28 to 507 of the family's 1533-position model. The record is from RNAcentral.